UACGGAGGGGGCUAGCGUUGUUCGGAAUUACUGGGCGUAAAGCGCACGUAGGCGGCUUUGCAAGUUAGAGGUGAAAGCCCGGGGCUCAACUCCGGAAUUGCCUUUAAGACUGCAUCGCUAGAACACGGGAGAGGUGAGUGGAAUUCCGAGUGUAGAGGUGAAAUUCGUAGAUAUUCGGAAGAACACCAGUGGCGAAGGCGGCUCACUGGACCGUUGUUGACGCUGAGGUGCGAAAGCGUGGGGAGCAAACAGGA
This 254-nucleotide ribosomal RNA is filed under the name uncultured prokaryote. RNAcentral's name for it is "partial 16S ribosomal RNA". It matches the Rfam family "Bacterial small subunit ribosomal RNA", at positions 524 to 777 of the family's 1533-position model. The record is from RNAcentral.